GAUGAACGCUGGCGGCGUGCCUAACACAUGCAAGUCGAGCGUGAACCCUGCGAAUGAAACUUCGGUCGAUUUUGCAGGGGGAAAGCGGCGGACGGGUGAGUAACGCGUAGGUAACCUGCCCCAUACUGAGGGAUAGCCUCGGGAAACCGGGAUUAAUACCUCAUAACACCGUAUAUUCGCAUGGAUGUGCGGUCAAAGAUUUAUCGGUAUGGGAUGGGCCUGCGUCUGAUUAGCUGGUUGGUGGGGUAACGGCCUACCAAGGCGACGAUCAGUAGCCGACCUGAGAGGGUGAUCGGCCACAUUGGAACUGAGACACGGUCCAAACUCCUACGGGAGGCAGCAGUGGGGAAUAUUGCACAAUGGGCGAAAGCCUGAUGCAGCAACGCCGCGUGAGCGAAGAAGGCCUUCGGUUGUAAGACCUGUCUUAUGGAGAAGUCAGUGACGGUACCAUAGGAGGAAGGCCACGGCUAACUACGUGCCAGCAGCCGCGGUAAG
This 495-nucleotide ribosomal RNA is filed under the name uncultured bacterium. RNAcentral's name for it is "bacterial SSU rRNA". It matches the Rfam family "Bacterial small subunit ribosomal RNA", at positions 28 to 524 of the family's 1533-position model. The record is from RNAcentral.